AGCCGGUCGGGCAGCCGCUGCCGCGGACGCGUGCCUUCGGGCAUACGGUCGACGGGGGAGGAAAGUCCGAGCUCCAUAGGACAGGGUGCCAGGUAACGCCUGGGGGGCGCAAGCCCACGAACAGUGCCACAGAAAACAAACCGCCUGCUUGCAGGCAAGGGUGAAAAGGUGCGGCAAGAGCGCACCGCCCAUCCAGCAAUGGCAUGGGGCAGGGAAAACUCCGCCCGGAGCAAGAUCAAAUAGGCCUCAUAUGGCGUGGUCCGCGCCUGGGGCGGGUUGAUUGCUUGAGCCCUGGAGCGAUCCAGGGCCUAGAGGAAUGGCUGCCGCUGCUUGCAGCACAGAACUCGGCUUACAGACUGGCUCAA
This 365-nucleotide RNase P RNA is filed under the name uncultured Succinivibrio sp. RNAcentral's name for it is "Bacterial RNase P class A". It matches the Rfam family "Bacterial RNase P class A". Rfam says of the family: Ribonuclease P (RNase P) is a ubiquitous endoribonuclease, found in archaea, bacteria and eukarya as well as chloroplasts and mitochondria. Its best characterised activity is the generation of mature 5'-ends of tRNAs by cleaving the 5'-leader elements of precursor-tRNAs. Cellular RNase Ps are ribonucleoproteins. The record is from RNAcentral. Lineage: Bacteria; Pseudomonadati; Pseudomonadota; Gammaproteobacteria; Aeromonadales; Succinivibrionaceae.